Molecule: ribosomal RNA, 497 nt
Filed under: uncultured bacterium
Lineage: Bacteria
Description: partial 16S ribosomal RNA
Rfam family: Bacterial small subunit ribosomal RNA
Source: RNAcentral
GAUGAACGCUGGCGGCGUGCCUAAUACAUGCAAGUCGAGCGAACAGACGAGGAGCUUGCUCCUCUGACGUUAGCGGCGGACGGGUGAGUAACACGUGUAUAACCUACCUAUAAGACUGGGAUAACUUCGGGAAACCGGAGCUUAUACCGGAUAAUAUAUUGAACCGCAGGGGGCAAUAGUGAAAGUCGGUGUUUGUGGCUCUAAUAGCUGGAUCCGGGCCGGGUGAGCUAGUUGGUAAGGUAACGGCUUACCAAGGCAAGUAUGCGUAGCCGACCUGAGAGGGUGAUCGGCCACAUGGGAACGGAGACACGGACCAUACUCCUGCGGGAGGCAGCAGUCGGGAAUCUUACGCAAUGGGGGAGAGCCUGACGGAGCAACGCGGCGUGAGUGAUGAAGGUGUUCGGAUCGUAAAGCUCUGUUAUUAGGGAAGAACCAAUGUGUAAGUAACUGUGCAGGUCUUGACGGUAACUGGUCAGAAAGCCACGGCUAACUACGUG